UUUCAGAGAUGAGAAUGUGCCUUCGGGAACCGUGAGACAGGUGCUGCAUGGCUGUCGUCAGCUCGUGUUGUGAAAUGUUGGGUUAAGUCCCGCAACGAGCGCAACCCUUAUCCUUUGUUGCCAGCGAUUAGGUCGGGAACUCAAAGGAGACUGCCAGUGAUAAACUGGAGGAAGGUGGGGAUGACGUCAAGUCAUCAUGGCCCUUACGACCAGGGCUACACACGUGCUACAAUGGCGCAUACAAAGAGAAGCGACCUCGCGAGAGCAAGCGGACCUCAUAAAGUGCGUCGUAGUCCGGAUUGGAGUCUGCAACUCGACUCCAUGAAGUCGGAAUCGCUAGUAAUCGUGGAUCAGAAUGCCACGGUGAAUACGUUCCCGGGCCUUGUACACACCGCCCGUCACACCAUGGGAGUGGGUUGCAAAAGAAGUAGGUAGCUUAACCUUCGGGAGGGCGCUUACCACUUUGUGAUUCAUGACUGGGGUGAAGUCGUAACAAGGUAACCGUAGGGGAACCUGCGGUUGGAUCACCUCCUUACCUUAAAGAA
RNAcentral lists this ribosomal RNA (545 nucleotides) under Salmonella enterica. RNAcentral describes it as "bacterial SSU rRNA". It matches the Rfam family "Bacterial small subunit ribosomal RNA", at positions 998 to 1533 of the family's 1533-position model. Lineage: Bacteria; Pseudomonadati; Pseudomonadota; Gammaproteobacteria; Enterobacterales; Enterobacteriaceae. The record is from RNAcentral.